This 72-nucleotide transfer RNA is filed under the name Heterocephalus glaber (naked mole-rat). It matches the Rfam family "tRNA". From Rfam's summary of the family: Transfer RNA (tRNA) molecules are approximately 80 nucleotides in length. Their secondary structure includes four short double-helical elements and three loops (D, anti-codon, and T loops). The record is from Rfam by way of RNAcentral. Lineage: Eukaryota; Metazoa; Chordata; Mammalia; Rodentia; Bathyergidae.
GGGGAUGUAGCUCAGUGGUUCCAGCACCUGCCUCACAAGCACAAGGUCAGGAGUUCAAUCCCUUCAAUCCCC